AACACUUUUCUUGACUCUUCAAAGGUCUUGGAAUAAGAGGUGGGUAAGGACGGUGCCAGCCGCCGCGGUAAUACCGGCGCCUCAAGUGGUAGUCGAUUUUAUUGGGCCUAAAACGUCCGUAGCCGGUUUGGUACAUUCGUGGGUAAAUCAACCAGCUCAACUGGUUGAAUUCUGCGAGCACGGCCAGACUUGGGACCGGGAGAGGUGUGGGGUACGCUCAGGGUAGGGGUAAAAUCCUGUCAUCCUGAGCGGACCACCUGUUGCGAAGGCGCCACACUAGAACGGAUCCGACGGUCAGGGACGAAGCCUAGGGGCACGAACCGGAUUAAAUACCCGGGUAGUCCUAGGUGUAAACGCUGUGGACUUGAUGUUGGGGAUGAUCCGAUCAUUCUCAGUGCCGAAGCGAAGGUGAUAAGUCCACUGCCUGGGAAGUACGGUCGCAAGGCUGAAACUUAAAGG
Molecule: ribosomal RNA, 459 nt
Filed under: uncultured archaeon
Lineage: Archaea
Description: bacterial SSU rRNA
Rfam family: Archaeal small subunit ribosomal RNA
Source: RNAcentral